GCUGACUGCUGCUGGCUUCUCACUCUCGUUGUCGUCGGUGUCAAGUUCGGUAGAAGGUUGAACACUUGGUGGUCGUCGUCGAUCGGAUUUGAAAAGAAGUGCAGAAGAAAAAAAAGCUAGAGGCUGUCCUCUGUGCUCCAACUGUGCGAAGUAAAAUCUACAAUUUAUUGUGAGUGCUUAAUUUUUGGGACGCCUCGUCGUGUGCAUCGGAAAGUGAUCGUUCCUGGCGUCAGAACACGGAAAAUAGGAUGUGGAUUACGGCCUAGGUUGUGCGGAUUAGCGGAAAAGUGGAAUGCGUUGGCCAAAAGCUGACGUUCCCAGUCGACUAAGCGGAGGACACAGCCGGAUCGGUGGUGAUCGGAAGUAGGUUUCCGUAAGUGAAAUCUGGUUACAGCUGCUGGAGGACGGGACCGAGGAUAGCAACCUUCUGGGUCUGGUGGUGGAAUCCGAGGUAGCCGCCAGAAUCUGGUAUCGAGACGGUGGAAAAUUACAUGGAACAACACCAUCCGAAAAGUGAAUCGAUCCGGAAUUGCAGCAUUUGUCGUUGUUGGUGGAACCAGAAAGAUUGUUUUCGGGCUGCUUGAGAAGUGUGCUAGAAAAUAGCGAAAUACACACUACAGUGGAAAACGCGAAUCAAAGUGCACCAGUACAGGUGAUCGGUGGUGAGGUGCAAGAGAAGAUACGAACGAAGACGAAGAAGAAGAACCACGCGAAGCCAAAAAUGAUUUGCGAAUGACCAAACGAAAGGAAAAGCGAUAAAGCAAGCAAGAAAGGAGCAGCAGCAGCAGCAGCUUCAAAGCAAGCGAGAAGAGUGCUAUCGAUUUUCCUCGUGAUCCAGAGCAGAAAAGAAAGAAGGUGACAGAACGAGAAAGGGAGAGCGAGUGACCGAGCGUGUGUUGAAGAACAGCUGAGACGCGGACGAAUUUGUAGGCCACUGGCAGAAAACAGCUGCGGUAGAGUGCUGCUGCAAGGCUGCUAGCAGGGGGUGUGUGUAUGUUGAAAAGUGGGUGAAAAUUUUAAUGAUAUGAAGAGUGAAGAAUACUAUCGUCGUCGUUGAUCGAUUGCGGAUUGUGAUUUUCUAAAUAUCUGAUAUUUUUUUUCGGGGGAACAAAGCAUAAGAGUGUGUGUCCUCCAGAGCGGAGAAGGCAGCUUGGUGGUGUGAAGAAAGGAGUCGAAGGAGAAGACAUCAGAGGGCGGUGUUGAGGCGUUGAAGGUGGAAAAGUUCACGCACUCACGCACGCGAGUGAAACAUCUGUUCGUCGUCGGACGGAUCGAACGUGGAUUGGUGUGAGAGAGUAUCGGACGGAAAAGCGACGAGAGCGAUAGCACCAGCACAACACAGGUUAACGACAGCGUUGCCAGAUCAACCGGUUGACUGGCAACUCUGUUGUUGAACGUUACUGUUACGUCCCGCCAUCCUCGGUAGGAUAGGGAGCCCCCGGCGCGGGAGUGCGUGCAGCGACAGCGGUAGCACUCUUUCCGCGCUACCUACUAGAUUUUCUUUUGGGACCCGGUUACAGAAGCGGCUUAGAAAAUAAAUUUUAAUCUGACGCUCGGUUGGUUCGGCGGUGCUUCUGAAAUGUCCGACGCCGGCAGUGGACACGACGGGGCCCAAAAGGACUACUCGCAAAAAAUGGACGGCGGGGGCGGUGGGGACUUUGACUCUGGCCAGCAGAGUCAACAGACCGAACAGGAACUGGCCACCAAAAUGCUACAGAUCCAGUCGAAACGGUUCUACCUGGAUGUGAAGCAGAACCGACGCGGCCGGUUUAUCAAAGUGGCCGAGAUCGGUGCCGAUGGGCGGCGUAGUCAGAUUUUCCUGGCCUUGUCCACGGCGGCCGAGUUCCGAGAUCACCUGUCGACAUUCAGCGACUACUAUGCCUCGCUGGGCCCACCGAAUCCGGACAACGUGCCCGAAGACGGCAAGCUAAAGUCAGAGAUGAUGAUCAAGGACAACCGACGGUACUACCUUGAUCUGAAAGAAAACGUCCGGGGACGGUUUCUGCGCGUUUCACAGACAAUUACCCGCGGUGGUCCCCGGUCGCAGAUUGCCAUCCCGGCGCAGGGGAUGAUCGAGUUCCGCGAUGCCCUGACGGAUCUACUGGAGGAGUUCGGCACGAACGACGGCGGGUUCAAGGGUGAACUGCCGGAGGGCCGCCACAUGCGUGUGGAUAAUAAAAAUUUCUACUUUGACAUCGGGCAAAACAGCCGGGGCAUCUACAUGCGGGUGUCGGAGGUGAAAAGUAACUUCCGGACUGCGAUCACCGUGCCGGAAAAGUGCUGGUCACGGUUCCGUGACAUCCUGACCGAUUACUGCGACAAGAUGAAGAAAACGUCCGAGUCAACCACAUCGUCGAUCACUGCCGAUAACCCAUUGCAGAAGCAAACAUCAAAUAAUAUGUAAAUUAGUGACGUGAGAGAGAGAAACAGAUCUUUUUCCCCCGUUUGUUUCUGUUCCCUGGCUGAGUUUUUUUCCCCACGCUUUAUUAUUUUUCGUUUUCGGUUUUUGCCCCGUUUUUUCAACUGUUCUCGACGAUUUUUCUGGUUUUUUUUCUCUUAUUUUUUUUUCGGUUAAUUGUUAUGUUUCCUUACUCGUUCACUUCCGGAAGGAUGAUAUACUAAAUUGUAGAGAUGAAAUGAAGAGUAUAAAAUAUAUUAUACAUAUAGUUAUAGAAGAAACAGAGAGGAUCAGAUGUAAUCUGAAUAUAAAUUGCAGUUAUAAAGAUUUAAAUAAAGGAAACAGAAGAAGAAAAAAUUAACAAAAUUAAAUUUAAUAACACAGACGAAAAAACAAAACCGAGCGAAGAAAAUAAUAACACACAAACAUAGGAAACAAGCGAAAAACACAACAACCUACACACAGUUUCACACGCAAAUCGUGCGUUUUUAUUUUAUUUUCGGCCAAUAAAUUCGCCAAUCCUCAAGCCACCCCUGGAUUCGGACGAUUCUGUCCAUAGAGAUGCGAUUCCUGUGCAUUCUGAAACAAAAAACGUAGGAUUUCCUGGUGUGCUGAUGGCAGCACUUCCUUCGAAAAAGAUGCAAUGAAAUGUCGGAAUUUUGCAUGGAAAUGUCUUAACUUCCAGCUUUAAUAUAACAGACUUAUCUGGCAAAUUGAAAAUGAUGUUCUCCGAGCCGGUUACCAGCAAAAAUUCAGUCACUGCUCAAUUUUGCUGGAUAAAAUGGUGCAACAUUCAGUAGAGUAGUUGAGUCUAUCCAUAUGGAGGUUCGUAAGACCAAAAUAACGCGUAAUCUGUGAUCAGUUGUUCCAAUUACUUGCCAUUUUUGAAGUUAAAGAACCGAUCAUUUCGGAGUAAGUGAGGAAGUUGUCCAGCUGUUGAUAUGAUGUCAUUUUUUUCACUUCUAUCAUCAAGCUUGAAUAAUGUGCAUGCAACUGAAAGCUGACGCUACAUUUUCGCUGGCAACACUUGAAUUUCCUAUGUCGACAGUGGAUUUUGACGUCGGAAGGUGCAACUCGGACAAGAGUUUAGUGGUGGCGCUACAAUCUCGAUUACUUUUUCAAAGGGACGUAUCAGCUUAUGUAAACAAUGCAUUUCAUCGUCGAUUGGGCGUAGCUGGUAGCUCGCAUACACUUACUAACACCACUAGCAGGUAGGGGAAAUUUCCCCUAUCUGAUGGUGGUGUUAGCAUGCGUGGGCGAGCUACCAGUUGCGCCAAAUCGACGAUCAAAUGCAUUGUUUACAAAAGCUGAUACGUCCCUUUGAAAAAGUUAUCGAGCAAUAAUAAUUAAAUUUAGGGACGAUCCAUAAAUGACGUAGGAUAUUGUAAACCCCUCUCUCUACCCCCUCGUAGCGUAUUUUGCUAUGCUUAAUAAAUGGCUGGCCACAACUUCUGAACCUUUUUUGGGAACUUCCCUGAAUUUAUUAGCCCCUCAGUGAAGCUACCGGAGCUUAUCUCAAGAACUGUAAUUACUCCAAAGUUCUCGGAACUUCUCAGAAGUUCUUUAAUUUCUUUCAAGUUCUCGUUAUUUCUCCGAAAAUCUUGGAUCUUAUCUCAAGUUGUUGGAACUUCUCAGAAUUUAUUGGAGUGAAGUGUUUGAACUUUUCUAAAAUGUUUCAAACUUCUUGAAUCUUCGCUGAAGUUUCCGGAGUUUUUCUCAAGUCCUUCGAACUUUGCUGUAGUUCUUAAGGGCCACCCGCAAUAGAUUCGUCUGCGUUGACGUAACUUUGCCGCAACGCAUCAGAUUCGAAUCUAAUGUGGGUGGCCCUUUAGGCCUUCGCUUAAUUUCUUGGAACCAUGUUAAAGAUAUUUUAACUUUGCUUAAGUUUGGAUCUUCGCUGAAGCUUUUUGAAAUUUUGCUGAAGCACUUGAAUUUUCGCUAAAUUUCUUGGAGCUAUGCUAAAAACAUUUGAACUUCAGUGAAGAUACAUGAACAUCACUGAUGUUUUGGGAUCUACGCUGAAAUUUUUGAAAGUUCAUGGAACUUCUUUGAAAAUCUUGGAAAAUUUCCGAGAAUUUUAGAGAAGUUUGCAAAAAGCCCCGAGAUCUGCAUCGAUGGUCCAGAAAGUUAGUCGGAGUUCCAGAAUCGGCAAAGUUCCAAAAACUCCAAAGAAGUUUCAAAGAUUUCAGAGUAGUUUGAAAAAGUUCCACAAAGUUCAUAUAUCUUCAAAAAGGCUCAACUAUUUUAAGCAAAGGUCCAAGAAACUCCGUGAAGGUCCAUCAGCUUCAGCGAAGUUUGAGAUAAGUUCCAAAUGCUUCCGAAAAGUUUCGAAAAUUUCUGCAAACUUUGGAGAAAUUCCAAAAGCUCCGGAGAAAUUUUGAGAACUUCGUAGAAAUUGUGCGAAUGUAAGAGAAGUUCCGAGAACUACGGAGAGGUUCAUGUACUUGUGGUAAGCCCCAAGAAAAUUCAACUAACUUCGAAGAGCGUCAUCAAAGUUCCGAAAACUUCAGCGAUGAUGUUUGCAAAAUGCCCAGAGUUUUAGAAAAGUCCCAGAUACUCUAAAGAAGUUUACAAAAUUUCAGGCUAGUUCGAAAAAGUUCAGCAAAGUUCAACUAUUUUAAGCAUAGCUUCAAAAAAUUCCGUGAAGGUCUAACAGCUUAGGCGAACUGUGAAGAGCCUUAUGCUAAGUUCCAAAUGCUUCACCACAGUUCCGAAAAUUUCAGCAAAGUUUAACAAAUAUUAGAAAAUUUUCAGCAAAGUUAAAAACACCUCAGUGAAGUUCCAUGAACUUGAGAUAAGUUCUGAGAACUUCGGAGAUAUUCCAAAAGGUCCGUAAAAAUUGUGGAAAUUUCGUAGAAAUUCCGAGAAAUUAAGAGAAUUUCCGAGAACUUCGGAGAGGUUUAUGUACUUGUGAUAAGCCCCAAGAAAAUCCAACUUAGUUAGAAGAGCGUCAGCAAAGUUCCAAAAACUUCAGCGAAGAUCUUUAGAAAGUUCAAAUAUCUUCACCACAGUUCCGAGAAAUUUAGCGAUGCUUCAGCGAAGUUUGAAUAUCUUGAGAUAAGCUCGGAGACAUUCAUCGAAGGUUCCGACCCAUGUGUUGAUGGGUUCGAUGGAUUCCAGGCGUAUUAGUCGUCUCCUUGGCACUCGAUUGCCGUCAGUGAUUGGCACACGAUUGUGGAACAAAGACCGACGUUAAAUAAAAGAGGUUUAAACAUGUGCAGUUUUCAAUUUCUGUUAAUUCUGAGAAUUAUCUUCUUUGAUCGGUAUCAAUCAAAUUUUACCAGCUGUUCAGUGUUGGAAAAAUCAAUCACUUAAAUGAAAAUAAUAUGCUUGAUACUGAUUCUACAAGCUCCUUUGAUAUUGCGAGACUAUUUACACUAUGUAAAAAUGAAGCUGAAAGUUGACUCGACACAAAGAUGAUUUCGUUGCACAUUGGUUUUCUUUGAAAGAGAAAGUGUAGUUUGCUAUUUCUCUUUACGCUUCACCGAUGGCAAACACGAAGUGACUGCUGCCAGCAGUGACGGUAGUUUCGCGUCACGUUCGGGUGUAAAGCAAAACUCAUGAAACUCAAACUCACCUUGGUUUGGUGAGAACUGUAGCUGGUGAGUUUUGUUUGCUUGAUAUUCG
Molecule: RNA transcript, 6025 nt
Organism: Ochlerotatus camptorhynchus
Lineage: Eukaryota; Metazoa; Arthropoda; Insecta; Diptera; Culicidae
Gene: Pur-alpha
Gene name: Purine-rich binding protein-alpha
Exons: 5
Source: RefSeq, a predicted model, not a curated record